CAGUAGCCACGGUAAUACGGAGGGUGCAAGCGUUGUCCGGAUUUAUUGGGUUUAAAGGGUGCGUAGGCGGCCUAAUAAGUCAGUGGUGAAAGCCUCCAGCUUAACUGGAGAACUGCCAUUGAUACUGUUAGGCUUGAGUAUACUUGAGGUAGGCGGAAUUGACAGUGUAGCGGUGAAAUGCAUAGAUAUUGUCAAGAACACCAAUUGCGAAGGCAGCUUACUAAAUUAUAACUGACGCUGAGGCACGAAAGUGUGGGUAUCAAACAGGAUUAGAUACCCCCGUAGUCCCUGUCUCUUAUAC
This 301-nucleotide ribosomal RNA is filed under the name uncultured bacterium. Its description in RNAcentral is "partial 16S ribosomal RNA". It matches the Rfam family "Bacterial small subunit ribosomal RNA", at positions 509 to 807 of the family's 1533-position model. The record is from RNAcentral.